AGUAACAUAAACAGGUGUGCACCUGAAAGUUAUUUUUGAGAGCCAUUCAAAAUGUGAAACACAAUUGCUUCUGCACAUAUGUUUCUGGGGGACAGUAUCAUACUCAUUCUGAACUCUUCUUGUUUGCGCUUUUGGGUGUUGGGGAACAGGGAAGUCCCUAACCUGAUGUAAAGGUUAUAAACAUUGAGAAAAGCCCUGACCCUCUUGAAGUCAGUAGAAAAACUUUGGUUACAGUAGAUCCAGGAUUUCACCCUAUUGUUUGCAUUUUUGCUAAAGUACUAAUUAAUUUGACUAUAGCCUUUGCUUUUUUAGGGCGUGAGAUGUUAGAGACCUUUUAGGAGAGCUACUUUGCUGCUGCACCAAGGUCACAGACAAGGAACAAACUCAGCCUUACCUGGAAGUCAGUGGCAAAGCAUAAAGAGUCUGGACCUAGCCUAAACAAGGGUAAAGAGGUAGUAAUUACCUUCACAGCUGAGACAAAUCAUUUCCCUCUUCCUGGUGCCUCCAGCCAGCUUUACCUUGCAGAAUAGAAAGUGAAUAUACAGUACCUAGGAGAAGAAGUCACAGUGACUCCUCUUUCUGCUAGGGUAAGUCAGUAAAAUAAUCUCAAAAAAAUCUUUUUUAGUAGGCUGGGAAAAUGUGAUACCACCUCAUAAAACUUUUCACCUUUUGUAUAAAAGUCUUUUAUAAUUGUUAUUAGUACUAAUCCUGAUGGAUUGCAAUAGGUUUAUGUGAUAAAAUAUGAUGUAAUUUAGUUUAUAUUCAUUAAAAACUAAAGGUAUGAACUAGGUAUAACAUAAAGUAUGAUACAUUUCACAUGUAAUUUGGAAAGUAUCACAUCUACUGUAUCAAAGUUGUAAUUUUCCCAUUCUCUGCACUUAUGAGACAUGGCAAAUAUGUUACAACACUAAGACAAGAGUGAAUGUGAUCUUCUUUGAAAUGGUAAAAGAG
RNAcentral lists this long non-coding RNA (951 nucleotides) under Anser cygnoides (Swan goose). RNAcentral describes it as "lncRNA (ENSACDG00005015361.1)". The record is from RNAcentral. Lineage: Eukaryota; Metazoa; Chordata; Aves; Anseriformes; Anatidae.